RNAcentral lists this ribosomal RNA (253 nucleotides) under uncultured bacterium. Its description in RNAcentral is "partial 16S ribosomal RNA". It matches the Rfam family "Bacterial small subunit ribosomal RNA", at positions 524 to 776 of the family's 1533-position model. The record is from RNAcentral.
UACGUAGGGGGCUAGCGUUGUCCGGAAUCAUUGGGCGUAAAGAGCGUGUAGGCGGCUCGGUAAGUCCGCUCUGAAAGCCCGGGGCUCAACCCCGGGAGGCGGGCGGAUACUGUCGGGCUAGAGUCCGGAAGAGGCGAGUGGAAUUCCUGGUGUAGCGGUGAAAUGCGCAGAUAUCAGGAGGAACACCAAUAGCGAAGGCAGCGCGCUGGGACGGUACUGACGCUGAGACGCGAAAGCGUGGGGAGCAAACAGG